UAUUUCACACCGAAAUCCCACACACCCACGCACAUAUCUCACAAUCAGCAAAGACGGGAAAAGGGAUACAAGAACGCAGCAUGAACUGCCCGCAAUCAGAACCAAAAAAAUUCUCUCUCUCUCUUCUCAAGUGAUCAGGAACACUCUCAGAUAGGAUUGAGUUUGCUAUUUGCUAGAUACCUGUUGAUGCCUAUGUUCAGCUAACUUGAAAAGAGAGAGGAGUUCUACUUGUGAUGCUGCUGGCCUACUAGUUCAGGUCUUCCACUUGCUGAGGGGGAGACCCCAGAUGCUUGAGGGGAGUCCUUUUCAUCCUACUUGAUUUUAUUUGCGUGCAUUGGGGACAAUGCAACAUCUUUUUAGUAGGGUGGCUUAUUUAUUUAUGGUGAUAUUGUUGACGAAUCAUAUGGAUUUCGUAGAUUGACUCUUUGUUUUGAUUUUUUUUUUUAUUGUGUUUGUGACAUAUUUAUAUUAGUAUGAUAUGCUAGUUUUUUUUUUGUUUGUGUAUGCCCAUGUUUUGUCAUGUAUUAGCAAUAUCAUUGGCUUUUCUUGUAGUGGUUCUUUUCCCGAGGAUGCUAAUGUCUUUUGAUCCGGUGUUUUUAGGUAGUUUUGAGUUGGCUUGUCCCUACGAGAGAUAGUUGGGCACUUUCUUAAGGGAAAAAAGCCUUGCAGGUUAGGUGUAGUAGUGAGUUUUAGGUAGUUAGGAGUAAAAAUGGUGUUGGGAUGUGAGUUUUUGCUCCUUGGCUAAUUUUUGGCUUGUUUGGUACGAACUUAUUUAAACCUUGGUAUAUGAAUUCUUGGUUUUUGAAAAAUAAAAAGGAUUGAAGUAAGGAUUCUUGUUGUGACUUUUAGACUCAAUUUUUGGCUCUUAUGUUCACUAAUUAGUCUCUUUAGGCUAUGAGUGACUUUUUGAGUUCAUUUGUUUCAAUUGGAUCUUGGAUACAUAUUCUACUUGAGUUUUUAUGUGCCAUGUGUGGUAAGGCUUAUUUGUGAGUUCUUUUGCAAAUCUUGUGGUCUAGAACUUGCCCGGAAUGUGUUUCAAGGCGAAAUUCUAGGUUACACUUGGUUUGAAAAAUGAUGUUUGGCCUUCCUUGGAUCAUUUUGUGCCUUAAAUUUCCUACGCUUACAUAUUUUUCCUAGUCAACCCCUUUUGAGCCUUUAUCCUUUUCUUUGGCAACCAUGUUACAAGCUUUAACCUUUUGUUCUUUAUUGAUCUAUCUUUUGACCUCCUACCUCCUUUAGUGCUUUGAAGGUGUAAACAUAGGCUAAAAGCCUAAGUUUGGGGGUGAUGGCUGGAAAAGCCGUGAUGUGGAAGUUGCUUAAAAGGUGAAAGGGUAAAACAAAAAUAGAGAAAAGGAGUAAAAAGAAAAUGACAUCUUCCUUGUUAGCUUGAAAACAAACAAACAGACAAACGAAAAAAGGAAGAAUAAUAGUUGUGAAUAAAGGGAUGACUAGGUGGUGGAAUGAAAAAUGGAAGCAAAGGGUGGAUCUUUUUUCGAAAGGAAGUGUGUUUUGAUUGUUGCAAAUUGUAGUGCUUAGGGUGGUUUUGAGUCACUAGUUCCAAAUUAUGCCCUUACCUUAACCAAAAGCCUACAGUACAACCCUUUAAGUCCUAAUUGAUUUUGAACUCAGUGUGUCUACAUUAGUGGAGAAAUACAUGAAGGGUAAGCCUAUGGUACUACUUGUGUGCAUUGAACAUCUUUGUGUGUGAGAAAGAGAGAGACACAGAGUUAAUUCUUAUCAUUUGAUAUCCCAUUUGUAUUUUGAAUUUUAUUUUAUAAGUUUGGGAUUCUCUCUUGAUUGUGAGGGCACAUAAAAAUUUAAGUUGUGAAGUUGUUCCAUUUUUCAAUUGAGAGGGAUGAACAAAAGAAAGUUGUUUUGUGAUAAUGAGGCAAAUUUUGAAGCUUAGUGUCAUGACUUGAUUGCUACUUUGAUUAAGUUGGUGUUUAAACACUUGAAAUGAAAUGAAAUUUUUGAGAAGUUGGUGAUUCAUAUGUCUUGGAUUAAUUGUUGGCACCAAUCAAAGUCAUGUGUUUGUGCUUAAAGUGGACCUUUUUGACUUGGUAUGUUGGUGCACUAUUGAGCUUAAAUGUGGAUUCCUUUGAAGAAAAUUGUGAGUCUUGUAUUUGCUUGAGGACAAGCAAUAGUUUAAGUUUGAGGGUUUGAUAAGUUGGUAUUUUUACCAACUUAUCUCUUAUUUAUGCUUAGAUUUUUGUUAUGUUUAAUUGAGAAAAUAGUGCAUUUACUAUGGUUUACUUUAAUUUUAUAGAUUUACGUGAUUUAGAAGUGACCAGAAAGAAAUCUUGUGCCAAAAAGGGUCAAAUUGAAGAAAAUGAGAAAAUUGGCUAGAAGCGCAAAAAGUGGCUAAAAAGGCAAUCUGAAAAUCUGAAAUUUGAAGGCCAUUUUUGUCACUUUUUAUUGGGAAAUUUUUGGGAACUAUAAAAGCAACACUUUGAGAUUUUAUUAUCAUCUUUGGCCAGAGUUCCAAGCCUCGGAAGCUAGAGUUCUUCAACCAACACUUUGGAAGAGAAGAUUGGAGCACUUUAAUCAGCAAACUCUUAACCCUUUCUUCACUUCCUUGUUAUGUAUUGCAUAUUUAAGUGUGUUGUAUUUUAUUCUCUCACUUGAAUCUUGUUUAUGAGAAUAUUCAUUAUCAAGUGUUGAAUUAAAUCUCUUGUUUUGCUUAUGUAUUGAACAAUUUUUAUUGCUAAUGAAGUGGAUCUUUGUUUCUUUAAUUAA
This is a long non-coding RNA of Lycium ferocissimum, 2736 nucleotides long. RefSeq lists it as uncharacterized. The transcript is spliced from 2 exons. NCBI's taxonomy places the organism in Eukaryota, Viridiplantae, Streptophyta, Magnoliopsida, Solanales, Solanaceae. The record is from RefSeq and is a predicted model, not a curated record.